This 237-nucleotide unclassified non-coding RNA is filed under the name Rozellomycota sp. RNAcentral describes it as "Cryptomycota sp. partial contains small subunit ribosomal RNA, internal transcribed spacer 1, and 5.8S ribosomal RNA". The stretch from base 1 to 47 matches the Rfam family "Eukaryotic small subunit ribosomal RNA", at positions 1785 to 1831 of the family's 1831-position model. The record is from RNAcentral. Lineage: Eukaryota; Fungi; Rozellomycota.
AAAGUCGUAACAAGGUUUCCGUAGGUGAACCUGCGGAAGGAUCAUUGCAAAUCAUAGGUGGUGUGGGUGGGGGUGGUGAGGGGUGGUGGGAUCAAAACCACUGCCCUUUCCGCGCCCGCCUGCCGCCGACAUUUGGUCGGGAUGCGAGUCCCGGAUCAUAUUCACGCUUGUGCUGUUUGACAGAGUAAUGAAUGGUUUAAAUUAUGACAACUUUUAACAAUGGAUCUCUUGGCUCUU